Molecule: long non-coding RNA, 907 nt
Filed under: Vitis vinifera (wine grape)
Lineage: Eukaryota; Viridiplantae; Streptophyta; Magnoliopsida; Vitales; Vitaceae
Description: long non-coding RNA (VVIN_LNC002492)
Source: RNAcentral
CAACAACGUCAUGUGUAAAAAAACAUAUAUGAAGUUUAAAAAAAAGGGUGCCUAGAAUUAGAAUAAAAAAAGGUAACAAAUCUUGUGAUCAAAUCACAAGAAGACGUAAAAAGGUCAAAGGUGCAUUAUUUAUUUUUUAACAAAGGGUGGAGUACCAUGGAGUACACAUGUCACAUUAAAGUACAUGUGUUAUGAUGCAACAGCGUCAUGUGUAAAAAAACACAUAUGAAGUUUAAAAAAAAGAGUGCUUAGAAUUAGAAUAAAAAAAGGUAACAAAUCUUGUGAUCAAAGCACAAGAAGACGUAAAAAGGUCAAAGGUGCAUUAUUUGUUUUUUAACAAAGGGUGGAGUACCAUGGAGUAGACAUGUCACGUUAAAGUACAUGUGUUAUGAUGCAACAGCGUCAUGUGUAAAAAAACAUAUAUGAAGUUUAAGAAAAAGGGUGCCUAGAAUUAGAAUAAAAAAAAGGUAACAAAUCUUGUGAUCAAAGCACAAGAAGACAUAAAAAGGUCAAAGGUGCAUUAUUUAUUUUUUAACAAAGGGUGGAGUACCAUGGAGUACAUGUGUCACAUUGAAGUACAAGUGUUAUAAUGCAUGGGCAUCAUGUGUAAAAAUGCAUAUAUGUUGUUUAAAAAAAUGGUGCCUAGAAUUAGAAUUCAAAAAGGAACAAAUCCCUACAAAUCAAUCACCACCUAAAUCCAUUGGCCCCCAUCUCACCCCGCCCCAACAACACUAAUGGUACCACCUCAUCUCAUUGAAAUCUAAUGUUGAUAGAAUUGGUCCCCAUUUUAGUUUCUUUCUGGUUGAUUCUAAAGACCACAACUCUUGUUUCAGGUGCUAAAGUUCAUAGCACCACCAAUGAUGUUGUUUUAUUAGGAGAAAGUCCACUCCUACCUUUUGCUUCACCU